Molecule: ribosomal RNA, 1164 nt
Filed under: uncultured bacterium
Lineage: Bacteria
Description: bacterial SSU rRNA
Rfam family: Bacterial small subunit ribosomal RNA
Source: RNAcentral
GCGGCACGCCUAACACAUGCAAGUCGAACGAAGUAGCAAUACUUAGUGGCAGACGGGUGAGUAACAUGUGGGUAUCUGCCCUUUGGCCUGGAAUAACACGAGGAAACUUGUGCUAAUACCGGAUAAGUCUUUACGGAGAAAGCUUUAUGCACCAUUGGAUGAGCCCGCACUUGAUUAGUUAGUUGGUAGGGUAAUGGCCUACCAAGACUGUGAUCAAUAGCUGAUUUGAGAGGAUGAUCAGCCACAUUGGGACUGAGACACGGCCCAAACUCCUACGGGAGGCAGCAGUGGGGAAUCUUGCACAAUGGAGGAAACUCUGAUGCAGCGAUGCCGCGUGAGUGAAGAAGGCCCUUGGGUUGUAAAGCUCUUUCGUCGGGGAAGAAAAUGACUGUACCCGAAUAAGAAGGUCCGGCUAACUUCGUGCCAGCAGCCGCGGUAAUACGAAGGGACCUAGCGUAGUUCGGAAUUACUGGGCUUAAAGAGUUCGUAGGUGGUUGAAAAAGUUGGUGGUGAAAUCCCAGAGCUUAACUCUGGAACUGCCAUCAAAACUUUUCAGCUAGAGUAUGAUAGAGGAAAGCAGAAUUUCUAGUGUAGAGGUGAAAUUCGUAGAUAUUAGAAAGAAUACCAAUUGCGAAGGCAGCUUUCUGGAUCAUUACUGACACUGAGGAACGAAAGCAUGGGUAGCGAAGAGGAUUAGAUACCCUCGUAGUCCAUGCCGUAAACGAUGUGUGUUAGACGUUGGAAAUUUAUUUUCAGUGUCGCAGCGAAAGCGAUAAACACACCGCCUGGGGAGUACGACCGCAAGGUUAAAACUCAAAUGAAUUGACGGGGACCCGCACAAGUAGUGGAGCAUGUGGUUUAAUUCGAAGAUACGCGCAGAACCUUACCAACACUUGACAUGUUCGUCGCGACUCUAAGAGAUUAGAGUUUUCGGUUCGGCCGGACGAAACACAGGUGCUGCAUGGCUGUCGUCAGCUCGUGUCGUGAGAUGUUGGGUUAAGUCCCGCAACGAGCGCAACCCUCACUUUUAGUUGCCAUCAUUAAGUUGGGCACUCUGAAAGAACUGCCAGUGAUAAGCUGGAGGAAGGUGGGGAUGACGUCAAGUCCUCAUGGCCCUUACGUGUUGGGCUACACACGUGCUACAAUGGCAUCUACAACAGGAAG